This 459-nucleotide unclassified non-coding RNA is filed under the name Hevea brasiliensis (rubber tree). The record is from RNAcentral. Lineage: Eukaryota; Viridiplantae; Streptophyta; Magnoliopsida; Malpighiales; Euphorbiaceae.
AGGAACAGCAGUUUCCCUCUUGCGUCCGCUCAUAACUUAGCAGGCUUGGGGAAGAUGUCGGGAGUGAAUUUCUGUGCCGCGGCGAUGCUGCCCUUGAUUUUCAGAGCACCCCUCAAGAAAGCAAUCUGAGGAUUCAGCUUCCCCAAAGCAAUUUUAACGAAAUCUUCGUCCUUGAAGGAUAAGGUAGCGUCUGGCUUUCCUCCUUCAUAUGGACCUUUGGUAACUUCCCCUUUCUUGAGAUCAAUGGUAUAAACCACCUCAUCAGUUCCAAUUUUCUUGGGAGAAAUAUUGAUCUGAUAAACAUGGCCGACUUUCUUGAGGAUCUCUUUUCCAGCAUCGGUGGUGAGAUACUGCUUCAUCUGCUCCAAAAGAGCAUCGGAUUUGAGGGGAGAAUCAGCGGAGUUCGCCAUUGGCAACGACGUGAGAGCAAAACUUGGAGAGAGAGAGAUGGAGGAAAAU